GUGGGGAAUAUUGGACAAUGGGGGGAACCCUGAUCCAGCCAUGCCGCGUGUGUGAAGAAGGCCUUUUGGUUGUAAGCACUUUAAGCGAGGAGGAGGCUACCGAGAUUAAUACUCUUGGAUAGUGGACGUUACUCGCAGAAUAAGCACCGGCUAACUCUGUGCCAGCAGCCGCGGUAAUACAGAGGGUGCAAGCGUUAAUCGGAUUUACUGGGCGUAAAGCGCGCGUAGGUGGCCAAUUAAGUCAAAUGUGAAAUCCCCGAGCUUAACUUGGGAAUUGCAUUCGAUACUGGUUGGCUAGAGUAUGGGAGAGGAUGGUAGAAUUCCAGGUGUAGCGGUGAAAUGCGUAGAGAUCUGGAGGAAUACCGAUGGCGAAGGCAGCCAUCUGGCCUAAUACUGACACUGAGGUGCGAAAGCAUGGGGAGCAAACAGGAUUAGAUACCCCAGUAGUCC
This 450-nucleotide ribosomal RNA is filed under the name uncultured bacterium. RNAcentral's name for it is "partial 16S ribosomal RNA". It matches the Rfam family "Bacterial small subunit ribosomal RNA", at positions 354 to 796 of the family's 1533-position model. The record is from RNAcentral.